AGCGCUUUUCAAAAGCGCUCUGGUAGGGGUGUUUAAUGAGAGCGCUUUUUGUCAAAAGCGCUGGUAUAGACCAGGCUAUGAGAGCGCUUUUCAGAAGCGCUUUAGUAGCCUUUAUUACUAAAAAUUAAAAACCAAAACACGCGUUACUGUUUCUCAUUUCUCUCUUUCGUUUUCUGCAGAACCCUUCCGUCCACCACUGUUCUUCAUCCACAAACCCUCACUGCACGCGAAACCCUUCCGUCCACCACCAUCGGCAACCACCGUCGGCGUCCCUCCGUCGGCUUCUCCUCCGUCACUCGUUUUAUCCACCGCCGGUCUGACUGGAUUGAUAACUUUGGAUCUCUUUGGAGCUCGUAUCAUUGACUCUGGUACUACAUAUUUAGGAGGGUAACUUGUGUAUAGUGAAAGUUUGAUCGUUUCCCAGCCUAGUUCGACGUUUGGCGUUUUCUUGAGUUCGGUAACAUCCGAGGGGUUACUUGUGAAGAGUGGAAGUUUGACCGUUGUUGUUUAGCUUAAUUAAGACAUGGAUAAGACAUGGAUGAAUUCAAACCGAUUGUCGAAAGAGUACGAGAAAGGGG
Molecule: long non-coding RNA, 578 nt
Organism: Vicia villosa (hairy vetch)
Lineage: Eukaryota; Viridiplantae; Streptophyta; Magnoliopsida; Fabales; Fabaceae
Exons: 4
Source: RefSeq, a predicted model, not a curated record